CAGCCGUGCCCUAGAACGAGCGCCGGAGCCGAUCCUUAGCCGCGUCGCUGCCACUCCUUCCCGAUGCCUUCCUCUCCUCUGCCCGACGCCGACGACGCCAGGGAGUAGAGAGUCGACGAUUGAGUGUCUUCUCUUCCCCCUGUGCUCGCAUACCGCCGACCGGCCCAUGCCCUAGCUUCACUGCCCGACGCUUACUUCGAUCGCCGAUGCCCUAGCCGAGCCCUGCUGAAGCUGUGCCCUUGCUCUGCCGCCGGCCACAGAAUAGGGUUUUUAAUCUGCUGCGGCUAAAUUGGUUUUCUGAUCAGUUGAGCGUCAACAGGAGCUUGGGAUUUAGUAACUUUGUGAUCCCCAGCAGCGG
This is a long non-coding RNA of Zingiber officinale, 358 nucleotides long. RefSeq lists it as uncharacterized. Lineage: Eukaryota; Viridiplantae; Streptophyta; Magnoliopsida; Zingiberales; Zingiberaceae. The record is from RefSeq and is a predicted model, not a curated record. The transcript is spliced from 3 exons.